UACAGAGGUCCCAAGCGUUGUUCGGAUUCACUGGGCGUAAAGGGUGCGUAGGCGGUCGGGUAAGUCUGAUGUGAAAUCUCACAGCUUAACUGUGAAACUGCAUUGGAUACUAUCCGGCUCGAGGAAUGGAGGGGAGACUGGAAUACUUGGUGUAGCAGUGAAAUGCGUAGAUAUCAAGUGGAACACCAGUGGCGAAGGCGAGUCUCUGGACAUUUCCUGACGCUGAGGCACGAAAGCCAGGGGAGCAAACGGG
RNAcentral lists this ribosomal RNA (253 nucleotides) under uncultured bacterium. Its description in RNAcentral is "partial 16S ribosomal RNA". It matches the Rfam family "Bacterial small subunit ribosomal RNA", at positions 524 to 776 of the family's 1533-position model. The record is from RNAcentral. RNAcentral also lists the same sequence under 1 other name.